UGGGGAAUAUUGGACAAUGGGCGCAAGCCUGAUCCAGCCAUGCCGCGUGAGUGAUGAAGGCCCUAGGGUUGUAAAGCCCUUUCGGCGGGGAAGAUAAUGACGGUACCCGCAGAAGAAGCACCGGCUAACUCUGUGCCAGCAGCCGCGGUAAUACAGAGGGUGCAAGCGUUAAUCGGAAUUACUGGGCGUAAAGCGUGCGUAGACGGUUAUGUAAGUCGGGUGUGAAAGCCCCGGGCUCAACCUGGGAAUUGCAUUCGAAACUGCAUAGCUAGGGUGCGGAAGAGGGAAGCGGAAUUUCAGGUGUAGCGGUGAAAUGCGUAGAUAUCUGAAGGAACACCAGUGGCGAAAGCGGCUUCCUGGUCCAGCACCGACGUUCAGGCACGAAAGCGUGGGGAGCAAACAGGAUUAGAUACCCUGGUAGUCCACGCCAUAAACGAUGAGAACUAGACGUUGAGAGGGUAAGCCUCCCAGUGUCGUAGCUAACGCGCUAGGUUCUCCGCCUGGGGAGUACGGCCGCAAGGUUG
RNAcentral lists this ribosomal RNA (524 nucleotides) under uncultured bacterium. RNAcentral describes it as "bacterial SSU rRNA". It matches the Rfam family "Bacterial small subunit ribosomal RNA", at positions 355 to 896 of the family's 1533-position model. The record is from RNAcentral.